AACGAACGCUGGCGGCAUGCCUAACACAUGCCAGUCGAACGAGACCUUCGGGUCUAGUGGCGCACGGGUGCGUAACGCGUGGGAACCUGCCCUUAGGUUCGGAAUAACUCCCCGAAAGGGGUGCUAAUACCGGAUAAUGUCUUCGGACCAAAGAUUUAUCGCCUUUGGAUGGGCCCGCGUUGGAUUAGCUAGUUGGUAGGGUAAAAGCCUACCAAGGCGACGAUCCAUAGCUGGUCUGAGAGGAUGAUCAGCCACACUGGGACUGAGACACGGCCCAGACUCCUACGGGAGGGAGCAGUGGGGAAUAUUGGACAAUGGGCGAAAGCCUGACCCAGCAAUGCCGCGUGAGUGAUGAAGGCCUUAGGGUUGUAAAGCUCUUUUACCCGGGAUGAUAAUGACAGUACCGGGAGAAUAAGCUCCGGCUAACUCCGUG
RNAcentral lists this ribosomal RNA (433 nucleotides) under uncultured bacterium. Its description in RNAcentral is "partial 16S ribosomal RNA". It matches the Rfam family "Bacterial small subunit ribosomal RNA", at positions 29 to 507 of the family's 1533-position model. The record is from RNAcentral.